CGUUGGUCAAGUGGUUAAGACACCGCCCUUUCACGGCGGUAACAUGGGUUCGAAUCCCGUACG
RNAcentral lists this transfer RNA (63 nucleotides) under human gut metagenome. It matches the Rfam family "tRNA", at positions 5 to 66 of the family's 71-position model. From Rfam's summary of the family: Transfer RNA (tRNA) molecules are approximately 80 nucleotides in length. Their secondary structure includes four short double-helical elements and three loops (D, anti-codon, and T loops). Further hydrogen bonds mediate the characteristic L-shaped molecular structure. tRNAs have two regions of fundamental functional importance: the anti-codon, which is responsible for specific mRNA codon recognition, and the 3' end, to which the tRNAs corresponding amino acid is attached (by aminoacyl-tRNA synthetases). tRNAs cope with the degeneracy of the genetic code in two manners: having more than one tRNA (with a specific anti-codon) for a particular amino acid; and 'wobble' base-pairing, i.e. permitting non-standard base-pairing at the 3rd anti-codon position. RNAcentral also lists the same sequence under 3 other names. The record is from RNAcentral.